AUUGAACGCUGGCGGCAUGCUUUACACAUGCAAGUCGAACGGUAACGGGCCGCAAGGUGCUGACGAGUGGCGAACGGGUGAGUAAUGCAUCGGAACGUGCCCAGUCGUGGGGGAUAACUACUCGAAAGAGUAGCUAAUACCGCAUACGAUCUAUGGAUGAAAGCGGGGGACCGUAAGGCCUCGCGCGCUUGGAGCGGCCGAUGUCAGAUUAGGUAGUUGGUGGGGUAAAGGCUCACCAAGCCAACGAUCUGUAGCUGGUCUGAGAGGACGACCAGCCACACUGGGACUGAGACACGGCCCAGACUCCUACGGGAGGCAGCAGUGGGGAAUUUUGGACAAUGGGCGCAAGCCUGAUCCAGCAAUGCCGCGUGCAGGAAGAAGGCCUUCGGGUUGUAAACUGCUUUUGUACGGAACGAAACGGCUCUGGUUAAUACCCGGGGCUAAUGACGGUACCGUAAGAAUAAGCACCGGCUAACUACGUG
This 482-nucleotide ribosomal RNA is filed under the name uncultured bacterium. Its description in RNAcentral is "partial 16S ribosomal RNA". It matches the Rfam family "Bacterial small subunit ribosomal RNA", at positions 30 to 507 of the family's 1533-position model. The record is from RNAcentral.